GCCACUGGCAAUCAGCUGAAGAAGCUGGGGUAGGUUGGUGGACAGAAGGGGGGCCCUAAAAGCUGGUCCCCAGCAGCUGCAGGAAUGAAAGAUCCAGGGGUUCUAGAGCCCCAGCAAGAGGCCGUGGGUGAUACAAUCUGGGGAACUGGAGGGGAAAGACUGAACUCACAUCAAGGCACAAGAGGGCCCCAGAGUUAGGAAGGGGCUUAGAGCAACAGAGUCCCAUCUCAGUGCUGGACCUGAGAUGCAGGUGGAUAUGACUUUGUGCUCAUGUGGACCUGACCAGGCUGUUGAAGCUGAAGGCAGAAAGGACCAGAGCUUGGGUUGGGACUAAGCUGCUCCCGUGGUUGGGGACAAGCAGCAUUGGGAAAGACUGA
Long non-coding RNA from Perognathus longimembris pacificus (Pacific pocket mouse), 377 nucleotides. RefSeq lists it as uncharacterized. The record is from RefSeq and is a predicted model, not a curated record. The transcript has 3 exons. Lineage: Eukaryota; Metazoa; Chordata; Mammalia; Rodentia; Heteromyidae.